UAGCUCAGUGGUAGAGCACUUGCCUAGCAAGCACAAGGCCCUGAGUUUGAUCCUCAG
This 57-nucleotide transfer RNA is filed under the name Rattus norvegicus (Norway rat). It matches the Rfam family "tRNA", at positions 8 to 63 of the family's 71-position model. Rfam says of the family: Transfer RNA (tRNA) molecules are approximately 80 nucleotides in length. Their secondary structure includes four short double-helical elements and three loops (D, anti-codon, and T loops). The record is from Rfam by way of RNAcentral. Lineage: Eukaryota; Metazoa; Chordata; Mammalia; Rodentia; Muridae.